CGAUCCUGCCUUUCAGGCAUCCUCUCCUAGACUUUAGGCCGGUCCUUCGGGAUCGGCCUUUUUUUCGUCUGCU
This 73-nucleotide small RNA is filed under the name Sphingomonas vulcanisoli. RNAcentral describes it as "suhB". It matches the Rfam family "Makes More Granules Regulator RNA (mmgR)". From Rfam's summary of the family: SuhB later renamed mmgR (makes more granules regulator) was a putative non-coding RNA found multiple times in the Agrobacterium tumefaciens genome and related alpha-proteobacteria. Other non-coding RNAs uncovered in the same analysis include: speF, ybhL, metA, and serC. Several studies inSinorhizobium meliloti showed that suhB element is indeed a non-coding RNA:firstly it was detected on Northern blot and called Sm8RNA, secondly in an RNAseq study referred to as SmelC689. The record is from RNAcentral. Lineage: Bacteria; Pseudomonadati; Pseudomonadota; Alphaproteobacteria; Sphingomonadales; Sphingomonadaceae.